GUGAAUCAUCAAAUUUUUGAACGCAAAUUGCGCUUCCUGGCAUCCCGGGAAGUAUGCCUGUUUGAGGGUCAGUAUUAAUAAAAAAUCGGGUGAGGUACAAAUUGUGACGUUUCCGGAGUUUUGGCUAUCUUAGCAUUUUUGGUUGAGAGACUUAAAAUGGACCUUUUUUUCGCAUUGUUAAACGUACAUAAAUUGUUUUAUUCGUCUAUUCUUAAUGCCAAAAUCGUAUUAUAUGCGAUCACAUCGUGUGGCUUCGUGUCCAUAAAAUUUUCAUUAUUUGACCUCAAAUCAGGUAGGAUUU
RNAcentral lists this unclassified non-coding RNA (301 nucleotides) under Glomeraceae sp. RNAcentral describes it as "partial contains 5.8S ribosomal RNA and internal transcribed spacer 2". The stretch from base 1 to 71 matches the Rfam family "5.8S ribosomal RNA", at positions 84 to 154 of the family's 154-position model. Lineage: Eukaryota; Fungi; Glomeromycota; Glomeromycetes; Glomerales; Glomeraceae. The record is from RNAcentral.